CCGGUCCGGUCCGCCAGGGGCUUUCCCUGAACACGCGGCGGACCGGCUUUGAGAACCACUGAUAUAGAUCAUCUGUCAAGGGUGAGGCUACUUUCUCAGGUAUCUGAAAAUAUAAUAUAUCAAGGGAUUCUGAUGCAUACUGGUAACCAGGGAGUGAAGCAAGUAGAAUCUGGGAUAGUUUUAGAGCCUUGAAUAUCUCUUUAGCCUUAAUUUUUCACAUCUGUUUGUAUCCUCUGGAUCUCAGGAGGAGGCGAUACACUUCAAAUUAAUGUCUUGUGGAUUUGUCACAAGCCCCAGAUAAGAACCAGCACAACCCAGUGACUCAAGAGUCCCAAUCGGUCCCUGGUUCUCCCCUGAUCUAAGGGAAAAGUCACCUGUGCGAUCCCUUUUCUUAGUGGAGAUCACUACCUGCCCCCCUACCUGUACACCUGUGCCAGACCGUGUCUUUCUACCUGUACGUCUGUUCCAGACCGUGUCUUUCUACCUAUACACCUACGACCUACAGCAUGGGAGUGAGGGAGAAGAGGGAAUUGUUAACAAUGGCACAAAAAAUAUAAAAGGAGGAGGAGAUGAGGCUGUGACAGCAACUGAACAGAACAUUUUUUUUUAUUAUUAUGACCGUAUUUGUCAUUUGAAAAAUUUCAGCUAGUUCUAAUACCCUUGGCCAUGGCAAAGCAGCCCUUCACCUCCCCAAGGAAUCUAAAUAUGGUUUUAUGUGAACUUCCUAAGUUUUUUCACUGUUCUGUUCUUCAUACACCAUUUUGUACCUUUACCCUGCCCCACUCAGACACGCCCCACAAGUUCAGAAUUCAGCACUGCGGCAUAGACUUGAAGGAACACCCCCAACAUGAUUCCAGUGUGUAACACUAGUGAGCAAUGCACUUUGCUGCAGAGUGCUGAGUUAACAAGGGCACUUAAACUUCCUGAGAAGUCUUUUAAAUCAAAGGAGCCUUUUGUGAAGCGUUGGAAUGACGAGAAGAUCUGCGCUGUGCUCUGUGAAUCCGGAGGGCUUUUGUUUGUGUGUGUGUAUUUUACAAAAGAGCCCGUUGUUUGUUCCUACAGUAUACAGAGGAAACAAACAAUAUUGCAAAUUGAAAUGAUCUGGAGAGCAUAUUUUAAAAAUUUAAAAUAAUCCUUCUAAUUAAUAUAGUUUUCAGUCCUGACCUGUAAUUCAUUUAAAAGUAAAUGUCAUUUGGUUAAGGAUGCGUUAAGCUUACAGCUCACUACAGUCUUUAUUUAAACAUCACUUUUUUUUCCUAUGGCCUAUCUUAUGUUACACAUUUAACUAUUGAUCAGUUGUUGAAAAUAAUAAUCCGGGGAAAAAAGUAGCCUUUAACAAACUAGUCUGAGGAGUCCUUGUUCUAUGAAAAGCAUAGAUUUUCAGCAGCUAUAGACGGGAACAGUGACAUCAGCACUAUUAAAAAAAGAAAUCACGAAAGCAGCACUGCAGAUCUGCUUGAACUUGUCAGGUGAUUUUCAACUAUAUUUCCACCCCUAAAAUUGAUUUACAUAUUAAAAAAAAACAUCCCCACAUUGCAGCAGCAUUCAUGUUUAGAAAUGCUAAAAUAACAUGCGACAGUUGCCUGUUGCCAAAACACCUACCUUGGCUUAGUUAGUAUUUUCUGUUCAUAAUGUUGCAAUAGUUAUAGUGCCGGGUUUUGAUUACACUCCAGUUAAAUCUAAAAUGUAACACUUUGCCCAGAAAGAGCUUCUAAUAUAUUUUAAUAAAAUAAUACACAUGGUGCCAGAGGUUUCCACCAUUGUUGCUUAUAUGCCUGUAAAAUACUGUGUAUGCACAAGAAUACCCAAACUUUUUAGAUUUUAAUUCAGAGUGCCUUUCUAGAUUUUUGUCUUACAAACCCAGUAUGGAGUAGAGUGGAGAUAGUACCCAGAUGAGAACAGAAUCACUGAUCAAAAGGACAUUUUCGGCCACUAUGAACUAAGGCAGUGGUUUUCAAACUGCAAGUCGUGACCCAGUACUGUGUCAUGGAAUGCAAGGCGCUGGGUCACGGUGGCUCUGGUCAGCACCGCUGUCUGGGCCGUUAAAAGUCCCGUUGAUGGUGCUGCCUGGCUAAGGCAGACUAGUUCCUACCUGUUUUGAUAUCGCACUGAACCUGGGAAGUAGGUAGCAGCAGGUCCGGCUCCUAGGUGGGGGGACCACGGGGCUCUGUGUGCUGCCCCCAACCCUGAGCACUGGCUCCACACUCCCAUUAGCUGGUUCCUGGCCAAUAGGAGCGGGGGCGAGGGGGCGGUGCCUGCAGGCAAGAACUGCUCGGAGCCGCUUGUGCACCUCCGCUUAGGAGCCGGAUCAGCUGCUGGCUGCUUCCGAGGCACAGCGCAGUCCGCAGUGCCAGGACAGACAGGAAGCCUGCCUAAGCACUCCCGCUGUGCCGCUGACCGGAAGCCACCUGAGGUAAGCCUGUGCCCCAUCCCCUGCCCCAGCCCUGAGCCCCCCUGAACAUGGAGCCCCUUCUUGCACCCCAAACCCCCCAUCCCUGGCUCUACCCCAGAGCCUGCACCCCCAGCCCAGAGCCCUGACCCCAUCCUGCACUCCAACUCCCUGCCCCAGCCCUGGGCCCCCCUGCACUCCAAUCCCCUCAUCCCUGGCCCCACUCCACAGUCCUCACUGCCGCACCCAAACCCUCUGCUGCAGCCCUGAGCCCCUCCACAACCCAAACCCCUCAUCCCCAGCUCUGUUGGGUCGCGGGCAUCAACAAUUGGCUUCAACUGGGUCACCAGAAAAAAAGUUUGAAAACCACUGAACUAAGGCCCAUAUUCAGUAAGACACUUAAACACAUGCCUAACAUAAAGUGUACAUGCUUAAGUUACUUGCAUAAUCGGAGUUUAAAUCUAUCUUAAGUACUUCUCUCCCCCCCCCAAUCCUUGCAAUUCCCCAGUAUCUGAGAACCUCAGUCUUUUAAUGCAUCUAUACCUGAGGCACAGCUUUGGAAUCAUUGAAAGAAACAGAUAGGAGUGGAAGAGCUUCAUCACUGCCCUAAAUACCAAAGGCGUAAUAAAAACGUGAUGAUGAUGAUGACGAUCUCUUGAGUAAAGCAUUUAGUCAUAUAUUUCCUGAAUCUUUCCUUACUGUGGCAUUGUGGUACAUCUUUAAGCUGUUUAAAACAACUAGCUGACUCUUCUGGCUUUGCUAUGUUGAAUUGACAGACUGGAAGAGCAGAAAAACUUUCAGAUUCCUCAGGUUGGAAAACAAAUGAUUCUAUCGCAAAAUUAGUGUCUAGUUAUAUGGAGAAGAAAUUUAAUCAAGAUGUGCUAAUAACCCACACAUUACCAUUUGACAAAAUCAAUGAAGGAUUUGAAUUGUUACGUUCAGCAAAGAGGAUUUAUCUAUUAUUGAAAGUUCAGGUGAAGGCAAAUGCAUGACAAAGGCUACCCAAAAGGGACAAUGACAAGAACACAAAAGAAAAGGAGAAGAUGGAGUGCAAAGAGCUGUAGUAGAAGAUAUGUUAUUUCAUGCUUCUGAACAAUUUUCUUUGAUGAAGUUGGCAGCCAGUUCAUUCAUAAGAAUGCUCAUACUGGAUCAGACCCCUAGUUCUUGGGUUAUGUGAAGCGGUAAAUAACACUGUUCUAUUCGCUUUCUCCACACCAUACAUGAUUUUAUACCCCUCUAUCAUAUCCCUGCUUAGCUGUCUCUUACCUGAUUAGUCUUUUAAAUCUCUCCUUGUAUGGAAACCUGUCCAUACCUCUAACUGUUUUCAUUGCCCUUUUCUGCACCUUUUCCAAGUCUAAUGUAUCUUUUUUGAGAUGGGGUGUUCAGUUCUGCAUGGAAGAAUCAAGAUUUGGGUGUACCAUGGAUUCAUUCAUUGCAUUGUAUUGCUAACAGAGUUUGACAAGAAGCAAGAUAGGAUUGUUGAAAAACAAAUCAGAUGUUAGCUGGUCUUUAUCUGCAUGUCAGCAUUUGUAACUAAUUAUUUUGUUUUAUAUUUCAGUAUUGGCAGCAUCCUUCUCUUUUAAGGUUCAGCGCAACAGGAGAGAUGUGGGUCUUAACAUCUCAACGUUUCAUAUCCAGUAUCUACUCUUCAGUGAUCUCUUUUUUUAUUAUGGUAACAUGAAGAGAGCUGUGAAAGGCUUUGGGUGAUUCUGACAUCGAGAGCUGUGAAAAAUGGGCCUGAUGAAAGCUGAAAAGAUCUGUAGAGUAAUAAGGAAGCAUCUUGGAGGGUAAAUAAUGUUUUAAAAUGUAACCUGUAGCCUCAAAGCCUAUGAAAUGGUGAGAGAGGUGGAUCUGUGUCUUGUCAUGUGACCUUAAAUGAGCUGGAUCCCCUUCACUCCACUCCUACCUCUUUUUACCUCCAGCUAUCCAAAUCAUGUAUGCAGAUGAACAUUACAGUAGCCAGAAUCUCCAACACUUCGGAACUGUGAAACACCUUGAAUUUGUAAUUGAUCGCACCUACAUGGAUAUGACUAGAGAGAUGGCAUCUUUUCUUUUGCUCUCUGGUCUUAUAGCCAGAGAUUAUAGUCUAUGUUGAUACCACAUGCUAAGGUAAAACCUGACACUAUCCUGAAGCUGAACUGUGGUGGGUGCACUGGAGGUGUUAGCUACAAACCCAGAACCAGCCUCAAACCUAGCAUCCCUGCCAGCCAUCCCUCUACGCUACCCAGCCACCUCUCACCUACCCUACAGUACCUGAAAACUUCCCAUUGUUUCUUCUGGUGACCCAAAUCCCAUGAGCUUUUCUAUCACCAAAGGAUUGCAGAAUAGAGUGAGUCGCAGGAUGAUUUUCUGUGUAUUUUGCUGGUCACACAGCAGAAACGAUGCAGAACUGCUGAUCUGGUUGGUAAGGCAUAGGGAGGCUGAAGAGGUUUUUCAAACCAACAUGUUUGUUAAUUGUAACAUUGUUCUUACUUGUCUUCCUCCAAUUUUUAUGUAAAUAAAAAGAUUUUUGCCUCAGGCUCCAUCUUGGGAAUAUCAGAAAAUGCUCACAAGAGCUCUUGGCCUGUUUCAUAGCAAAACUGUGUUCGUGAUCUGUCAAUAAAUCUGUGCUAGUGUGGGGAUUAGAUUCAGACAGGUCAUUAUGUAUUACAGCAAGGCAUAUGAGUGCCAAAAAACCCUGGGUCUAUUUCCAUUAGGGAUGCAGAAACAAACUACUGUAGGGGUCUGUCAGAUGCUUGGGCUAUUGAUGCAGACUACCAGGCACCAUGAGUCAUGUCUCUAGCUGGAAGAAGAGAGCAUGCCAGGAGGAAGGGAGGGUGAGUGAAAAUCUUGGGCUGUAGGGGUGGGAGCGAGGGAACCAAGCAGUGGAAAAGGAAAGAGUUGGUGGUUCUGAGAUGUUGAAAAAUGUUGUAAUGCAAAAUAAAAUUGAUAGUAUGGGAGACAUUUUUAUUCAGAAAAGAUGCUUAAAAGGAGCAUGAGUGAGCUUGAUUUAACUCAGCUCUGUGUUCUUGACCAUUGUGUCAAAAUUUACAUGGAUGUUUAUUUUGCUAUUUGUUUGUUUUUUUUAAAAAAAAAAAAGACAGCAUGUAUGUUGAUGUUAGGAUAAGAGUUACCGUUUUAUUAAAGAACUGUACAGCC
This is a long non-coding RNA of Dermochelys coriacea (leatherback sea turtle), 5527 nucleotides long. RefSeq lists it as uncharacterized. The record is from RefSeq and is a predicted model, not a curated record. The transcript is spliced from 3 exons. NCBI's taxonomy places the organism in Eukaryota, Metazoa, Chordata, Testudines, Dermochelyidae.